UGUGUGUUAGUGGAAGCGUCUGGAAAGGCGCGCGAUACAGGGUGACAGCCCCGUACACAAAAAUGCACAUGCUGUGAGCUCGAUGAGUAGGGCGGGACACGUGGUAUCCUGUCUGAAUAUGGGGGGACCAUCCUCCAAGGCUAAAUACUCCUGACUGACCGAUAGUGAACCAGUACCGUGAGGGAAAGGCGAAAAGAACCCCGGCGAGGGGAGUGAAAAAGAACCUGAAACCGUGUACGUACAAGCAGUGGGAGCCUCUUUUAUGGGGUGACUGCGUACCUUUUGUAUAAUGGGUCAGCGACUUAUAUUCUGUAGCAAGGUUAACCGAAUAGGGGAGCCGAAGGGAAACCGAGUCUUAACUGGGCGUUAAGUUGCAGGGUAUAGACCCGAAACCCGGUGAUCUAGCCAUGGGCAGGUUGAAGGUUGGGUAACACUAACUGGAGGACCGAACCGACUAAUGUUGAAAAAUUAGCGGAUGACUUGUGGCUGGGGGUGAAAGGCCAAUCAAACCGGGAGAUAGCUGGUUCU
Molecule: ribosomal RNA, 528 nt
Filed under: Escherichia coli
Lineage: Bacteria; Pseudomonadati; Pseudomonadota; Gammaproteobacteria; Enterobacterales; Enterobacteriaceae
Description: partial 23S ribosomal RNA
Rfam family: Bacterial large subunit ribosomal RNA
Source: RNAcentral